Molecule: ribosomal RNA, 253 nt
Filed under: uncultured bacterium
Lineage: Bacteria
Description: partial 16S ribosomal RNA
Rfam family: Bacterial small subunit ribosomal RNA
Source: RNAcentral
UACGUAGGGGGCUAGCGUUGUCCGGAAUCAUUGGGCGUAAAGAGCGUGUAGGCGGCUUGGUAAGUCCGCUGUGAAAGUCCAGGGCUCAACCCUGGAAUGCCAGUGGAUACUGUCGAGCUAGAGUCCGGAAGAGGCGAGUGGAAUUCCUGGUGUAGCGGUGAAAUGCGCAGAUAUCAGGAGGAACACCAAUGGCGAAGGCAGCUCGCUGGGACGGUACUGACGCUGAGACGCGAAAGCGUGGGGAGCAAACAGG